GUGGGGAAUAUUCCGCAAUGGACGAAAGUCUGACGGAGCAACGCCGCGUGAGUGAUGAAGGUUUUCGGACUGUAAAGCUCUGUUGUUUAGGACGAAAGUGCCUGUUGCGAACAGUUACAGGUAUUGACGGUACUAAACGAUGAAGCCACGGCUAACUACGUGCCAGCAGCCGCGGUAAUACGUAGGUGGCAAGCGUUGUCCGGAAUUAUUGGGCGUAAAGAGCAUGUAGGCGGAGAUUUAAGUCUGUUGUGAAAAUGCGGGGCUCAACCCCGUAUUGCGAUGGAAACUGAAUUUCUUGAGUGCAGGAGAGGAAAGGGGAAUUCCCAGUGUAGCGGUGAAAUGCGUAGAUAUUGGGAGGAACACCAGUGGCGAAGGCGCCUUUCUGGACUGUGUCUGACCCUGAGAUGCGAAAGCCAGGGUAGCGAACGGGAUUAGAUACCCCGGUAGUCC
Molecule: ribosomal RNA, 450 nt
Filed under: uncultured bacterium
Lineage: Bacteria
Description: partial 16S ribosomal RNA
Rfam family: Bacterial small subunit ribosomal RNA
Source: RNAcentral